RNAcentral lists this ribosomal RNA (1063 nucleotides) under unidentified rumen bacterium 30-48. Its description in RNAcentral is "bacterial SSU rRNA". It matches the Rfam family "Bacterial small subunit ribosomal RNA", at positions 8 to 1066 of the family's 1533-position model. Lineage: Bacteria; Pseudomonadati; Bacteroidota; Bacteroidia; Bacteroidales; Bacteroidaceae. The record is from RNAcentral.
AGAGUUUGAUCCUGGCUCAGGAUGAACGCUAGCUACAGGCUUAACACAUGCNAGUCGAGGGGCAGCAGGAGCUUAGCUUGCUAAGUUUGCUGGCGACCGGCGCACGGGUGAGUNACGCGUAUCCAACCUUCCCCCUAGUAGAGGAUAGCCCGGUGAAAAUCGGAUUAAUACUCUAUGUUGUUCAAUGCAGGCAUCUAAGUUGAACCAAAGAUUUAUCGCUAAGGGAUGGGGAUGCGUCUGAUUAGGUAGUCGGCGGGGUAACGGCCCACCGAGCCAACGAUCAGUAGGGGUUCUGAGAGGAAGGUCCCCCACAUUGGAACUGAGACACGGUCCAAACUCCUACCGCCGGCAGCAGUGAGGAAUAUUGGUCAAUGGGCGAGAGCCUGAACCAGCCAAGUAGCGUGCAGGAUGACGGCCCUAUGGGUUGUAAACUGCUUUUAUGCGGGGAUAAAGUGGCGGACGUGUCCCUUAUUGUAGGUACCGCAUGAAUAAGGACCGGCUAAUUCCGUGCCAGCAGCCGCGGUAAUACGGAAGGUCCGGGCGUUAUCCGGAUUUAUUGGGUUUAAAGGGAGCGCAGGCGGAAGAUUAAGCGUGACGUGAAAUGUCCCGGCUCAACCGUGGAACUGCGUCGCGAACUGCCGAUCUUGAGUGAGUUCGAUGUAGGCGGAAUUCGUGGUGUAGCGGUGAAAUGCUUAGAUAUCACGAAGAACCCCGAUUGCGAAGGCAGCCUACAAGGCCUUUACUGACGCUAAAGCUCGAAGGUGCGGGUAUCGAACAGGAUUAGAUACCCUGGUAGUCCGCACGGUAAACGAUGGAUGCCCGCUGUUGGCGAUACACUGUCAGCGGCCAAGCGAAAGCGUUAAGCAUCCCACCUGGGGAGUACGCCGGCAACGGNNAAACUCAAAGGAAUUGACGGGGGCCCGCACAAGCGGAGGAACAUGUGGUUUAAUUCGAUGAUACGCGAGGAACCUUACCCGGGCUUGAACUGCAGCAGACGGAUCUAGAGAUAGUGACNCNUCGGGGCUGCUGUGGAGGUGCUGCAUGGUUGUCGUCAGCUCGUGCC